GAUGAACGCUAGCGGGAGGCUUAACACAUGCAAGUCGAGGGGCAGCAUAGGGUAGCAAUACUCUGAUGGCGACCGGCAAACGGGUGAGUAACGCGUAUGCAACCUACCCUGUACAGGGGGAUAACCCGGAGAAAUUCGGACUAAUAUCCCGUAAUAAUAUCCGGAGGCAUCUUUGGAUAUUUAAAGUUCCGACGGUACGGAUGGGCAUGCGUAACAUUAACUGGUUGGUAAGGUAACGGCUUACCAAGGCUAUGAUGUUUAGGGGUCCUGAGAGGGUGGUCCCCCACACUGGUACUGAGACACGGACCAGACUCCUACGGGAGGCAGCAGUGAGGAAUAUUGGUCAAUGGGCGCAAGCCUGAACCAGCCAUCCCGCGUGCAGGAAGACGGCCCUAUGGGUUGUAAACUGCUUUUCCAGGGAGAGAAACUUACGCACGUGUUGCGUGACUGACGGUACCCUGGGAAUAAGCAUCGGCUAACUCCGUG
This 486-nucleotide ribosomal RNA is filed under the name uncultured bacterium. RNAcentral's name for it is "bacterial SSU rRNA". It matches the Rfam family "Bacterial small subunit ribosomal RNA", at positions 28 to 507 of the family's 1533-position model. The record is from RNAcentral.